Molecule: ribosomal RNA, 253 nt
Filed under: uncultured bacterium
Lineage: Bacteria
Description: partial 16S ribosomal RNA
Rfam family: Bacterial small subunit ribosomal RNA
Source: RNAcentral
UACAGAGGGGGCAAGCGUUGUUCGGAAUUACUGGGCGUAAAGGGCGCGUAGGCGGCCGGUUAAAUCGAACGUGAAAUCCCCGGGCUCAACCCGGGAACUGCGUCCGAUACUGGCAGGCUUGAAUCCGGGAGAGGGAUGUGGAAUUCCAGGUGUAGCGGUGAAAUGCGUAGAUAUCUGGAGGAACACCGGUGGCGAAGGCGGCAUCCUGGACCGGUAUUGACGCUGAGGCGCGAAAGCGUGGGGAGCGAACAGG